This 233-nucleotide ribosomal RNA is filed under the name uncultured bacterium. RNAcentral's name for it is "partial 16S ribosomal RNA". It matches the Rfam family "Bacterial small subunit ribosomal RNA", at positions 103 to 334 of the family's 1533-position model. The record is from RNAcentral.
CGGGUGAGUAACACGUAUCCAACCUGCCGUCUACUCUUGGCCAGCCUUCUGAAAGGAAGAUUAAUCCAGGAUGGGAUCAUGAGUUCACAUGUCCGCAUGAUUAAAGGUAUUUUCCGGUAGACGAUGGGGAUGCGUUCCAUUAGAUAGUAGGCGGGGUGACGGCCCACCUAGUCAACGAUGGAUAGGGGUUCUGAGAGGAAGGUCCCCCACAUUGGAACUGAGACACGGUCCAA